Molecule: ribosomal RNA, 468 nt
Filed under: uncultured bacterium
Lineage: Bacteria
Description: partial 16S ribosomal RNA
Rfam family: Bacterial small subunit ribosomal RNA
Source: RNAcentral
GAUGAACGCUGGCGGCGUGCUUAACACAUGCAAGUCGAACGGAAAGGCCGAAGCUUGCUUCGGUACUCGAGUGGCGAACGGGUGAGUAACAAGUGGGUGAUCUGCCCUGUACUUCGGGAUAAGCUUGGGCAACUGGGUCUAAUACCGGAUAUGACGAUCUCUUGGCUGGGGUGGUGGAAAGCUUUUGCGGUAUGGGUAGAGCUCGCGGCCUAUCACCUUGUUGGUGGGGUAAUGGCCUACCCCGGCGUCGACGGGUAGCCGGCCUGCGAGGGUGUACGGCCACAUUGGGACUGAGAUACGGCCCAGACUCCUACGGGAGGCAGCAGUGGGGAAUAUUGCACAAUGGGCGCAAGCCUGAUGCAGCGACGCCGCGUGGGGGAUGACGGCCUUCGGGUUGUAAACUCCUUUCGCAAUCGACGAAGCCUUUUGGUGACGGUAGGUUGAGAAGAAGCACCGGCUAACUACGUG